This 465-nucleotide ribosomal RNA is filed under the name Vreelandella stevensii. RNAcentral's name for it is "partial 16S ribosomal RNA". It matches the Rfam family "Bacterial small subunit ribosomal RNA", at positions 338 to 795 of the family's 1533-position model. The record is from RNAcentral. Lineage: Bacteria; Pseudomonadati; Pseudomonadota; Gammaproteobacteria; Oceanospirillales; Halomonadaceae.
CCUACGGGAGGCUGCAGUGGGGAAUAUUGGACAAUGGGCGAAAGCCUGAUCCAGCCAUGCCGCGUGUGUGAAGAAGGCCUUCGGGUUGUAAAGCACUUUCAGUGGGGAAGAAAGCCUUGGGGCUAAUACCCUCGAGGAAGGACAUCACCCACAGAAGAAGCACCGGCUAACUCCGUGCCAGCAGCCGCGGUAAUACGGAGGGUGCGAGCGUUAAUCGGAAUUACUGGGCGUAAAGCGCGCGUAGGCGGUCUGAUAAGCCGGUUGUGAAAGCCCCGGGCUCAACCUGGGAACGGCAUCCGGAACUGUCAGGCUAGAGUGAGGGAGAGGAAGGUAGAAUUCCCGGUGUAGCGGUGAAAUGCGUAGAGAUCGGGAGGAAUACCAGUGGCGAAGGCGGCCUUCUGGACUGACACUGACGCUGAGGUGCGAAAGCGUGGGUAGCAAACAGGAUUAGAUACCCCAGUAGUC